Molecule: ribosomal RNA, 113 nt
Filed under: Priestia filamentosa
Lineage: Bacteria; Bacillati; Bacillota; Bacilli; Caryophanales; Bacillaceae
Source: RNAcentral
GGUAACCAUAGCCAAGAGGUCACACCUGUUCCCAUGCCGAACACAGAAGUUAAGCUCUUGAACGCCGAUGGUAGUUGGGACUUUGUCCCUGUGAGAGUAGGACGUUGCCAGGC